GACGAACGCUGGCGGCGUGCCUAACACAUGCAAGUCGAACGGAGUAAAGACUUCGGUUUUUACUUAGUGGCGAACGGGUGAGUAACGCGUGAGAAACCUGCCUUUCAGUGGGGGACAACAGUUGGAAACGACUGCUAAUACCGCAUAAUGUUAUUUGAGGGCAUCCUCGGAUAACCAAAGCUUUAUGUGCUGAAAGAUGGUCUCGCGUCUGAUUAGCUAGAUGGCGGGGUAACGGCCCACCAUGGCGACGAUCAGUAGCCGGUCUGAGAGGAUGAACGGCCACAUUGGGACUGAGAUACGGCCCAGACUCCUACGGGAGGCAGCAGUGGGGAAUAUUGGGCAAUGGGGGAAACCCUGACCCAGCAACGCCGCGUGAAGGAAGAAGGCCUCGGGUUGUAAACUUACUUUACCUAGGACGAAGAACGUAGACGGUACCUCGGAGAAAAAGACAACGGC
Molecule: ribosomal RNA, 456 nt
Filed under: uncultured bacterium
Lineage: Bacteria
Description: bacterial SSU rRNA
Rfam family: Bacterial small subunit ribosomal RNA
Source: RNAcentral